This 655-nucleotide unclassified non-coding RNA is filed under the name uncultured Bordetella sp. RNAcentral describes it as "partial 16S-23S ribosomal RNA intergenic spacer". It matches the Rfam family "Bacterial small subunit ribosomal RNA", at positions 836 to 1500 of the family's 1533-position model. The record is from RNAcentral. Lineage: Bacteria; Pseudomonadati; Pseudomonadota; Betaproteobacteria; Burkholderiales; Alcaligenaceae.
GGCCUUGGUAGCGCAGCUAACGUGAAGUUAGCCGCCUGGGGAGUACGGUCGCAAGAUUAAAACUCAAAGGAAUUGACGGGGACCCGCACAAGCGGUGGAUGAUGUGGAUUAAUUCGAUGCAACGCGAAAAACCUUACCUACCCUUGACAUGUCUGGAAUCCCGAAGAGAGAUUUGGGAGUGCUCGCAAGAGAACCGGAACACAGGUGCUGCAUGGCUGUCGUCAGCUCGUGUCGUGAGAUGUUGGGUUAAGUCCCGCAACGAGCGCAACCCUUGUCAUUAGUUGCUACGAGGGCACUCUAAUGAGACUGCCGGUGACAAACCGGAGGAAGGUGGGGAUGACGUCAAGUCCUCAUGGCCCUUAUGGGUAGGGCUUCACCCACGUCAUACAAUGGUCGGGACAGAGGGUCGCCAACCCGCGAGGGGAGCCAAUCCCAGAAACCCGAUCGUAGUCCGGAUCGCAGUCUGCAACUCGACUGCGUGAAAUCGGAAUCGCUAGUAAUCGCGGAUCAGCAUGUCGCGGUGAAUACGUUCCCGGAGUCUUGUACACCGCCCGUCACACCAUGGGAGUGGGUUUUGCAAGUAGUUAGCCUAACCGUAAGGAGGGCGAUUACCACGGUAGGAUUCAUGACUGGGGUGAAGUCGUAACAAGGCCAA